UGUUUUAGAUAGUAGGUUCAGAGUUAACCAUAUUGCCACCAUGUGUAUUGUGGACUUGAUAGAGAAGAGGACACAUGGCUAACAGAGACGAAUAUUCAAACUUGAAAAUGUUGAGAAUGUUGACAAAGAACAAGGCUUUUGCGACAGGUUAACUAUGAGCGACACGAUACGCUCGUUAUCAAUUAAUUUGCUUUUGAACCCAAUUUCAGAUUCAAUCAUGCAAAUCUCCUCAAGUGUCCUAGCUUUGGAUCUUUCAAAAAUCAAGUUGAGAAAAUCAAAGCCUUUUUUGUUCCAGUUAAUAGGAUACCGUCAAUUACCAAAAGAGCCACAGAGUGACUUUGCAUUUUUGCUCCGAUAUUUGGCAAGAGAUCUGCGCUACCUAGCAGGACAUUGUUUUCUUUAGUGGCAAAGUUGCUUCUCUAUUGUCUUUCUUGUUGCUUGCUCCACUGUCAUAUAGAGU
Long non-coding RNA from Rhododendron vialii, 460 nucleotides. RefSeq lists it as uncharacterized. The record is from RefSeq and is a predicted model, not a curated record. The transcript is spliced from 3 exons. NCBI's taxonomy places the organism in Eukaryota, Viridiplantae, Streptophyta, Magnoliopsida, Ericales, Ericaceae.